Oncorhynchus kisutch (coho salmon) is the source of this 167-nucleotide small nuclear RNA. Its record names the gene U2. It matches the Rfam family "U2 spliceosomal RNA". Rfam says of the family: U2 is a small nuclear RNA (snRNA) component of the spliceosome (involved in pre-mRNA splicing). Lineage: Eukaryota; Metazoa; Chordata; Actinopteri; Salmoniformes; Salmonidae. The record is from Ensembl.
AAAGCUUUGAAUCAUCUGUUCUUAUCAGGUUAAUAUCUGAUCCGUUCCCCAUCCGGGGACUACAUAUUAAAUGGAUUUUUCGAACAGGGAGUCGGAAAUGGGGCUUACUCCGUCCGCUCCAAGCAUUGACCCGGUAUUGCAGGACCUCCGGGAAUGGUGUAACACUU